This 328-nucleotide ribosomal RNA is filed under the name uncultured eukaryote. Its description in RNAcentral is "partial 18S ribosomal RNA". It matches the Rfam family "Eukaryotic small subunit ribosomal RNA", at positions 1470 to 1796 of the family's 1831-position model. The record is from RNAcentral.
CCCUUAGACGUUCUGGGCCGCACGCGCGCUACACUGACCAGUGCAACAAGCAUCCGUCCUUGGCCGACAGGCCCGGGCAAUCUUUGAACGCUGGUCGUGAUGGGGAUAGACUUUUGCAAUUUUUGGUCUUCAACGAGGAAUUCCUAGUAAACGCAAGUCAUCAACUUGCAUUGAUUACGUCCCUGCCCUUUGUACACACCGCCCGUCGCACCUACCGAUUGAAUGGUCCGGUGAAGCGUUCGGACCGUGGCCUUUGGACGGUUCGCCGUCUGUUGGCUGCGGGAAGUUCGUUAAACCUUAUCAUUUAGAGGAAGGAGAAGUCGUANCA